AGGCUGUUCUUUGAAAUUGGAUAGGGUGGGAGAUUUCAAGUCCAAGCUAAACGUGAAAGUGCAAGUUGAGGGUGGCUCUGCGAUAAAAGACAUAAUUGAGCCCAAAGAUUUCGGAACCAAAGAUUGCAACUCACCUGUUGAAAGUUGCUCUGGUGUCCCUCAGUUACAGACUGAAGAUGACAAAAGCUAUUGCCAGCAAGAUACUUGAGUAGAGCAGAAUAAUUUGAAGAGUGAUAAGUUGAGAUAUUGGUGUCAUACGAGAGUAGCAGGAUAUUAAUCCCGGAUCUUGUUUGAAUGGAACCUUGCUUGCAAACAACGCUUCCUGCAAGGUAUUUGGCGAAACUGUUCAUGAGGUUGGUUUAGAUGACUGUGAUGCCUGUGGAAUUGAAUGAAAGAGUUCCAAAGUAGCAGCAGCAAUGCAUGAUGGCAAUCUUUGGUUCCGGUAUGCAUUCCUUAGGAACCAAUGCAUACUGGUUCUCCAUUUCCUGGGCUAGAAUUCUACCUGAUGGGAUGCUCGGCUCAGUCAAUCCAAGAGGGAUCAUCUUUUAUAAUAAAUUUAUAGACCAUCUUCUAAGCAAAGGCAGGAAUAGAGCCAUUUGUGACACUUCACCACAAUGACCUGCCCCAAGUACUAGAACAAGGAGACGGGGGUUGGCUCAGUCCGCUAUUAAGGGAAGAGUUUGCACAUUUUGCCUCCAUAUGCUUUGAGAGGAAAAGGCUGACUACUUAAAAAUGGAAGUUGCAGUGACCAGCUCUUUCAAGAUUGAAGCAUCAUCUGAAAAUCUUCGAAGUUGUAUGAAUAAUAAGCUAAGCAAUCAAGCUGGUUCUGUGGAGUCUUAUUUGUCUGGUCUUGAUUAAGGCCGAAAGGCAUUUGUAUUUAGUCUCAUAUCUUUUAAAACUAACCCAAUUAAAACUGAAUGACAUUUUUCCUCUCUAAUUCAAAAGCAAUUUAAAACUAGGUAGGGAAGAAGCCAUUGCUGCUCUGCAUUUGUCU
Molecule: RNA transcript, 994 nt
Organism: Prunus dulcis (almond)
Lineage: Eukaryota; Viridiplantae; Streptophyta; Magnoliopsida; Rosales; Rosaceae
Gene name: putative beta-glucosidase 17
Exons: 4
Source: RefSeq, a predicted model, not a curated record